CACCCGCAGCUCAAGUGGUAGUCACUUUUAUUGAGCCUAAAGCGUUCGUAGCCGGUUUUGUAAAUCCUCAGACAAAUUCUCCUGCUUAACGGGAGAUACUCUGGAGAGACUGCGAAACUAGGGACCGGGUGAGGUUGAAGGUACUUCUGGGGUAGGGGUAAAAUCCUGUAAUCCUGGAAGGACGACCAGUGGCGAAGGCGUUCAACUAGAACGGAUCCGACGGUGAGGAACGAGGGCUAGGGGAGCAAACCGGAUUAGAUACCCGGGUAGUCCUAGCUGUAAACACUGCCCACUUGGUGUUGCUUCUUCUAUAGGGGGGAGCAGUGCCGGAGCGAAGGUGUUAAGUGGGCCGCUUGGGGAGUAUGGUCGCAAGGCUGAAACUUAAAGGAAUUGGCGGGGGAGCACCGCAACGGGAGGAGCGUGCGGUUUAAUUGGAUUCAACGCCGGAAAACUCACCGGGAGCGACCUUUGGAUGAGAGUCAACUUGAUGAGUUUACUCGAUAGAAGGAGAGGUGGUGCAUGGCCGUCGUCAGCUCGUACCGUAGGGCGUUCACUUAAGUGUGAUAACGAGCGAGACCCCCAUCCUUAAUUGCAAAUCUCAGGGUGACUUGAUAUGCACUUUAAGGAGACCGCCAGCGCUAAGCUGGAGGAAGGAGAGGUCGACGGCAGGUCAGUACGCCCCGAAUCUCCCGGGCUACGCGCGCGCUACAAAGGACAGGACAAUGAGUUGCGACCUCGAAAGAGGGAGCUAACCUCGAAACCUGUUCGUAGUUAGGAUUGAGGGCUGUAACUCGCCCUCAUGAAUGUGGAUUCCGUAGUAAUCGCGGGUCAACAGCCCGCGGUGAAUAUGCCCCUGCUCCU
This 861-nucleotide ribosomal RNA is filed under the name uncultured archaeon. Its description in RNAcentral is "bacterial SSU rRNA". It matches the Rfam family "Archaeal small subunit ribosomal RNA", at positions 474 to 1337 of the family's 1478-position model. The record is from RNAcentral.